RNAcentral lists this ribosomal RNA (497 nucleotides) under uncultured bacterium. Its description in RNAcentral is "partial 16S ribosomal RNA". It matches the Rfam family "Bacterial small subunit ribosomal RNA", at positions 28 to 507 of the family's 1533-position model. The record is from RNAcentral.
GAUGAACGCUGGCGGCGUGCCUAAUACAUGCAAGUCGAGCGAACGGACGAGAAGCUUGCUUCUCUGAUGUUGGCGGCGGACGGGUGAGUAACACGUGGAUAACCUACCUAUAAGACUGGGAUAACUUCGGGAAACCGGAGCUAAUACCGGAUAAUAUUUUGAACCGCAUGGUUCAAAAGUGAAAGACGGUCUUGCUGUCACUUAUAGAUGGAUCCGCGCUGCAUUAGCUAGUUGGUAAGGUAACGGCUUACCAAGGCAACGAUGCAUAGCCGACCUGAGAGGGUGAUCGGCCACACUGGAACUGAGACACGGUCCAGACUCCUACGGGAGGCAGCAGUAGGGAAUCUUCCGCAAUGGGCGAAAGCCUGACGGAGCAACGCCGCGUGAGUGAUGAGGGUCUUCGGAUCGUAAAACUCUGUUAUUAGGGAAGAACAUAUGUGUAAGUAACUGUGCACAUCUUGACGGUACCUAAUCAGAAAGCCACGGCUAACUACGUG